UGUAGGUGCUCACAAAUGGCAUAGAGGUGAAGUUACAAAGGGAUACGCUUAGAAGGCAACGUUUCGGGGAAGAUCUUGGGCUGUUGAAUCUGAAAGACCUUGAACAACUCCUCAAGCACCAACUGGACUCAAACUUUGAGUCAAAUCUGGUCCAUAGGAGGUACUUUCAUAGUGUCUUUUUAAUGAAUUUUAUAUUUAAUAUAUGUAUGUUUUCUUAGUUAGUAAUUUUGCCAUUUGAAGAUUUUAAAUAUGAUUAUACAUGUAGGUGGCUCAACUGUACGAGAAAAAAAAAACUAAAGGUUGGAUCCUAUAUCAAAGGCUCUUCAGUUUUUAGGAUUUCCUGGUGGAUAAGUCUGUUUGUGAUAGCCAUGAAUCUCAGAUUCUAAGGCUAUUGG
This 395-nucleotide long non-coding RNA is filed under the name Helianthus annuus (common sunflower). Its description in RNAcentral is "sRNA HanXRQr2_Chr12g0541451". Lineage: Eukaryota; Viridiplantae; Streptophyta; Magnoliopsida; Asterales; Asteraceae. The record is from RNAcentral.